AGUACACCUGUGGGUACGUAAAUUUCUAUUAGAUUGUAACUUACGAAAUAUCCUAUUUUGUUAUCCACAGCUGCAGUUUAUCAAGCUUACAGUAGGAGCUUUCUAGUCAGCAACCUUGACCUCUGGUGCGGCUGCAAGGACUUCCGUCGUAGUGGCCAAUUCAUCCUGAAAAGCAUCCCCAUCGGUCGCAGUAUUUUGGUGGUGCCUUCCGUUCCGUUCGCUGGAACAACCGGAACUGCUAGUUUUGCCGGUUCCAUCUUAACUGCGUCUUCAGAAACGGAAUCGGCGCUGCUCUUCUUGGUUUGUUCAGCACCUUUUUCAUGGAGUUCAUGAUGAUCCGGAUGGCGAAGGAGGUCGAAUCAAUUUUCGACAAGAGCAAACGCUUUCAGGGCCUGAUGACAAAACCACUGGUCAAGGUGGACGACUUUGUUCUGCUUAAGUUCUACACGAUCGCGUUCGCUGUUUGUGUUCCUCAGCUACGCCAAGUGGUGAUACAUGUACAAGGUGGUCAACUUCUCCGUUCCCAACGUGACCGUUCCGGCAGCGCCGGUCAAACCGAUGCAAAAAAAACGGAAUAAGCAUCACUCACUAGAAAAGCAUACUAAGUCACAACAAAUUUUCGGGAAAAUCCUCACAUUUACACGCUUAUGAUAGAUACGGUAAUUCAUUCAGUGUUUACACGGUUUAACCUACAAUUAUAAGUAAAAAAUGAGUACUUUUCUAUAACCGUGCACGGAUUUUUCUAAUUCCCUUGCAACGUGUAGGAAUGAUUUGUUUUGAUUUUGCCAGAGUUUGACAGAGCACUUUUCAGUUGGCCGCCUACCACCCACCCGCCUGCUGCGAUUGCUUUUUUUUGUUUACGUGGGUGUCGGGUUUCUUUUUGAUUUUUCCUGAUGUUUAAUUUUUGUCAGUACAAGUAGUUUUGCAACCGUCGAAUUAAUUAUUCUUCUGCUUCUCCUGUCGCGCUUCACGGUAGUUUUUGUGUGAUUGUUGUUUGUGUCUGAAAAUCCGGGUAAUGAAGGAGCAAAUCCGGACAAAUGCGAUAACGUUGUAACCGUUGGUAAGAGGAACCUGAGCCUCAAGCCGCAUCUUAUCAGUAGUGGUAUCUGUGAGGGAGUUCCAAAUCAGCGUGGGCAAAAACAUUCUGGAGUCAGAAUCGGCUGGCUGGCUGUUUUGGUGUUGCUGUCGCUACCAGGUUUCACCGCGGCUCAGCUGGUAACCUCAAAUGUUCUGUAAAUCCUGCCUCAACAGUCAACCGUCGCCAUCUGGACGUAUUAUAUUCAAUCCGUUUCAUUUGAAACCGGCUAUAGUCGCGUUCCGGCGAACGGCCAACGUGUACGUGGCUGAUAACUCUGCUGCUCGAGGCUGUGGUCUAGGGAAAAGCUGGAGUUAUUGAUAACGCACAGCGCUGAAGCUUCCAAAAAACCGCAACGAAUCAUCUGGAUUAAGAUCAGACGACUAGGUCGUGUCGAUCUACUGCUGGACGCCGUAACUUGGUCUGCCAUUUAGUUGCUAUUGUCAGGUCAUCCGACGUUACAUGGCGGCUCCGAAGUGUUGCACUCUGUUAUGCUCGUUGCUUCAGCUCGCCCACGACGCCGAUCCAUUUGUCGGGGACUUGAGGUACUUGCAGAAAUGACUACACUUCUCAGUUGGUUUUAGUUCCACAGGUGAUUAUAGUAGUAUUUACUAAAUUAAAUACAAUUUCGGAAAUAAUAAUGUCUUUAGUUGCAGCUCUCGGUUUGAUGUUGACAAAAGUCCAAGGUUCUGAAUCAAGCAAAGCCGGCGUGGGAUUGCAUGCUUCAGCUGGUCAUCCGUGACCGCCUUUCGCACAAGUUUGUAAUUGGAGCACCUGGAGUGCAAACAGAUCAUGAUGGACAUCCUCGCCCAAAUGGGGUACGCACAUCUGCAACAGGUGGACGUGUCGGCUGAAGGCUUUCGUAUCAACUUAAUUCCAACAUUGUUUUCAUAAAUGUAAGCAUUCAAUGUUAUUUAUUUCUUUUAAAAUCCCGCAGAGCUAAAAUCACAAUCUACAUUCUCAGUGACCAGCACGUUUCGUGUUAUUUCAUAUCGCUCCGUUGAAUUUUAAAUCUGAUACUUAUUUUCUUGCUAUCAGCUCAUAGUAGUUUGGAAUGAUUUACUUUUGUGUCUUAAAAAGAUAACAAAAGUUCACCGUUUCAACCAACGUUGAGCUUCUGAAGCAUUUGAAAUUUACAUCAGAUUCAAAAUUCAACGGGGUAAAAAAAUUUUGGGAUUCGGUAAAAUUACAUCGAUUUCAUCGGAAAAUUACACGUUUCGGAAGCGAAGUUUGUUCGGCAAGUUUACGUCGGAUGGCAUUUAAAUUUACAAUGAAUUUGAUGUAAAUUAGCAUCAUUAAUGACGUGCACUUUUGGUACAUCAUAAAUGAUGUAAAUUUACCCGAUUUUUUUUUUCUGUGCACGUAAGCAAA
Culex pipiens pallens (northern house mosquito) is the source of this 2446-nucleotide long non-coding RNA. RefSeq lists it as uncharacterized. The record is from RefSeq and is a predicted model, not a curated record. NCBI's taxonomy places the organism in Eukaryota, Metazoa, Arthropoda, Insecta, Diptera, Culicidae. The transcript has 3 exons.